GAUGAAGAACGCAGCGAAAUGCGAUAAGUAGUGUGAAUUGCAGAAUUCAGUGAAUCAUCGAAUCUUUGAACGCACAUUGCGCCCCUUGGUAUCCCGAGGGGCAUGCCUGUUCGAGCGUCAUUUCACCACUCAAGCCUGGCUUGGUGUUGGGCGACGUCCUCAUUGGGGACGCGCCUCGAAACGCUCGGCGGCGUGGCACCGGCUUUAAGCGUAGCAGAAUCUUUCGCUUUGGAAGUCGGGGCCCCGUCUGCCGGAAGACCUGCUCGCAAGGUUGACCUCGGAUCAGGCAGGGAUACCCGCUGAACUUAAGCAUAUCAAUAAGCGGAGGA
This 329-nucleotide unclassified non-coding RNA is filed under the name soil metagenome. RNAcentral's name for it is "partial contains 5.8S ribosomal RNA, internal transcribed spacer 2, and large subunit ribosomal RNA". The stretch from base 1 to 120 matches the Rfam family "5.8S ribosomal RNA", at positions 35 to 154 of the family's 154-position model. The record is from RNAcentral.